Paramuricea clavata is the source of this 310-nucleotide non-coding RNA. Lineage: Eukaryota; Metazoa; Cnidaria; Anthozoa; Malacalcyonacea; Plexauridae. The record is from the annotation of a GenBank genome assembly.
AAACUUCUUCGUCAUUAUCUCUCAGUACCCCAAGUUUUUUUAAAUUGCGAGUUAUCGCUAAAUGUCGUUCUGUGUAACAUCAACGUCACUUGACUACGACGUUGGGGGUUUAACAAGAAACAGAACGCAAAGGAGACUGAAAUGGCGGGAUUCAGGAUUCUACGAAGUCGUGGGAAUAACUGGGAAACGGUAUAAGCAAAACUAUGAUUUACGGAAAUCGUGUGCGAUAGUGAUGAGCACGGAUUAAGGAUAAGAAACAAAAUAUUUGUGAAGAGAAUAAGAAAUUUAUGCAAUGUGAUUUAUCAAGGUA